This 439-nucleotide ribosomal RNA is filed under the name uncultured bacterium. RNAcentral's name for it is "partial 16S ribosomal RNA". It matches the Rfam family "Bacterial small subunit ribosomal RNA", at positions 339 to 795 of the family's 1533-position model. The record is from RNAcentral.
CUACGGGUGGCAGCAGUGAGGAAUAUUGCACAAUGGGGGGAACCCUGAUGCAGCAACGCCGCGUGGAGGAUGACGCAUUACGGUGUGUAAACUCCUUUUAUAUGUCAAGAAAAUGACGGUAGCAUAUGAAUAAGCACCGGCUAACUCCGUGCCAGCAGCCGCGGUAAUACGGAGGGUGCAAGCGUUACUCGGAAUCACUGGGCGUAAAGGACGCGUAGGCGGAUUGGAAAGUCAGGUGUGAAAUCCUACAGCUUAACUGUAGAACUGCACUUGAAACUUCUAAUCUAGAGUAUGGGAGGGGGAGAUGGAAUUAGUGGUGUAGGGGUAAUAUCCGUAGAUAUCACUAGGAAUACCUAAAGCGAAGGCGAUCUCCUGGAACAUUACUGACGCUAAGGCGUGAAAGCGUGGGGAGCAAACAGGAUUAGAUACCCCAGUAGUC